RNAcentral lists this ribosomal RNA (206 nucleotides) under uncultured bacterium. RNAcentral describes it as "partial 16S ribosomal RNA". It matches the Rfam family "Bacterial small subunit ribosomal RNA", at positions 1295 to 1500 of the family's 1533-position model. The record is from RNAcentral.
GGAUUGUAGGCUGCAACCCGCCUACAUGAAGUCGGAAUUGCUAGUAAUCGUGGAUCAGCAUGCCACGGUGAAUACGUUCCCGGGCCUUGUACACACCGCCCGUCAAACCAUGAGAGUUGGCAACACCCGAAGCCUGUAGCUUAACCGCAAGGAUGGCGCAGUCGAAGGUGGGGUCGAUGAUUAGGGUUAAGUCGUAACAAGGUACC